RNAcentral lists this ribosomal RNA (497 nucleotides) under uncultured bacterium. RNAcentral describes it as "partial 16S ribosomal RNA". It matches the Rfam family "Bacterial small subunit ribosomal RNA", at positions 28 to 507 of the family's 1533-position model. The record is from RNAcentral.
GAUGAACGCUGGCGGCGUGCCUAAUACAUGCAAGUCGAGCGAACGGACGAGAAGCUUGCUUCUCUGAUGCUAGCGGCGGACGGGUGAGUAACACGUGGAUAACCUACCUAUAAGACUGGGAUAACUUCGGGAAACCGGAGCUAAUACCGGAUAAUAUUUUGAACCGCAUGGUUCAAAAGUGAAAGACGGUUUUGCUGUCACUUAUAGGUGGAUCCGCGCUGCAUUAGCUAGUUGGUAAGGUAACGGCUUACCAAGGCAACGAUGCAUAGCCGACCUGAGAGGAUGAUCGGCCACACUGGAACUGAGACACGGUCCAGACUCCUACGGGAGGCAGCAGUAGGGAAUCUUCCGCAAUGGGCGAAAGCCUGACGGAGCAACGCCGCGUGAGUGAUGAAGGUCUUCGGAUCGUAAAACUCUGUUAUUAGGGAAGAACAUAUGUGUAAGUAACUGUGCACAUCUUGACGGUACCUAAUCAGAAAGCCACGGCUAACUACGUG